RNAcentral lists this long non-coding RNA (630 nucleotides) under Homo sapiens (human). RNAcentral's name for it is "non-protein coding lnc-BCL2L10-6:1". Lineage: Eukaryota; Metazoa; Chordata; Mammalia; Primates; Hominidae. The record is from RNAcentral.
AGAAGGCGGAGGCAGGAGAAUGGCGUGAACCCGGGAGGCGGAGCUUGCAGUGAGCCAAGACUGCGCCACUGCACUCCAGCCUGGACGACAGAGCAAGACUCCGUCUCAAAAAAAAAAAAAAAAAAAAAUUUCUGCCUCACAUGGACUCAAGUUUUAUCGCCUGACCCUUGUAAUUCUUACUGUCUUAACACAUCUCGGGGUUAGUGUACAUUUAGUAUCUGCCAUCUGCUCAAAUGCUCUAAGCUUUCUCUAUGAUUAUGAUUCUAGGAGCUCAGAAAUUCACUUAAGCAUAUUUUUUUCCCUGCUUUUAAUUUAUCCAACCUCUCUAGGUGAUUAAAGAGGGUUUCAGUGUUGUUCAUUCUCCUGCCACACAUACAUCUGUCACCUCUGUAUGCUUAUUCUGUGAUUAUGUGCCUCUUGAGGAAAAACAAGAUGCAUAGAGUCAUUUAAACUAUAAUUUUCUAAAGUACUUGUGUUGUGAAACAGGUAGAAAAUACUAUAAGAUGGAGGAUACGCCGAGAUGAAGAAGGAAAUGAAAUUAAAGAAAGCAAUGCUCGGAUAGUCAAGUGGUCAGAUGGAAGCAUGUCCCUGCAUUUAGGCAAUGAAGUGUUUGAUGUGUACAAAGCCCCA